GGGCAUGUAGCUCAGCGGUAGAGCGCCAUCCUUAUAAGAUGGAUGUCCCUGGUUCGAGACCAGGCAUGCCCA
Molecule: transfer RNA, 72 nt
Filed under: Candidatus Levyibacteriota bacterium
Lineage: Bacteria; Candidatus Levyibacteriota
Description: tRNA-Ile
Rfam family: tRNA
About the family: Transfer RNA (tRNA) molecules are approximately 80 nucleotides in length. Their secondary structure includes four short double-helical elements and three loops (D, anti-codon, and T loops).
Source: RNAcentral